Molecule: long non-coding RNA, 889 nt
Filed under: Coturnix japonica (Japanese quail)
Lineage: Eukaryota; Metazoa; Chordata; Aves; Galliformes; Phasianidae
Description: lncRNA (ENSCJPG00005011591.1)
Source: RNAcentral
CUUGCUCUGAAGAUGAUGGAGACUUUGUUUUGCAACUUUGUCUGUCAAUAUGAAAUGGACUUCUGUGACUGGAGCUUCUCUAAAUGCUUCUGAGGGCAGAGGGGACACAGACUACUCUAUCACUAGACGUUACAGCGGUACUUGGGCGUAGCUACAUUUGAAAGCCAAGGUCGUUUCUCAUGCCCAGAGAAGACAAGAUUCACCUUUCUGUGAACAUCCAGAGAAGUGCUACAGUGUGGACCCAGAGUGGCACCUCAGUCUCUUCAUUGAUACUCUCCCAUGUCACGGCUCAGUGCUGCGUGCACUGCCUCACGUGAGUAGCUUUACUCUCCUGAGAAGAGCCAUGCACUUCAGUCGGGCCAUUUAUCCUAACAAGAGCUUGCAGAAUUGGGUCUUUUCAGUAAGGCACUUAAAGAGGCUUUUUCAAGCCGUUAGGAUUUCAGGACAUCAUUUUAAUUGUUGGACAUUUGUAAAGGAUUCCCAUUCCUCCACAAACGCACAUUAAAAAUUAUCUGUUCUCCUACUAAUGCUUUCGCUUAAGUACAAACAUAUAUGUCUGGUUUAUAUUUGUCUGAAAUUUCUGGGUAAAUGAUGAAAUAAGACGUCCAUAAUGUGACACAACACUCAUUUAAAAUGUGGUCAUGGGCGAGAGAGAACAGAGUGUACGCAUUUUCUUUUUCAGUACAGCAGCACAGUGACUCACCAAAGCCAUUUUGGAAACACUAAUGAAAUUUUAAAUCUUAAGGUGUGCAAUUUUAUAUGGCAGCACCGCAAAAGACUGUGCCUCUUAUUAUCGCGAGUUGUGCACCACUAGGAAAAAAAAAAAAGCAGCGACAAGAGAUGUACAUAACGUAACUAAAUAAAGCCAAAAUCUGUGUAAAUCUUCUCA